AGAGUUUGAUCAUGGCUCAGGAUGAACGCUAGCGGCAGGCUUAACACAUGCAAGUCGAGGGGUAGAGGUUGCUUGCAACCUUGAGACCGGCGCACGGGUGCGUAACGCGUAUGCAACCUACCUUUUACAGAGGGAUAGCCCAGAGAAAUUUGGAUUAAUACCUCAUAGUAUAUAUCUUUCGCAUGUUAGGUAUAUUAAAGUUCCAACGGUAAAAGAUGGGCAUGCGUCCUAUUAGCUAGAUGGUAAGGUAACGGCUUACCAUGGCUACGAUAGGUAGGGGUCCUGAGAGGGAGAUCCCCCACACUGGUACUGAGACACGGACCAGACUCCUACGGGAGGCAGCAGUGAGGAAUAUUGGACAAUGGGCGCAAGCCUGAUCCAGCCAUGCCGCGUGCAGGAAGAAGCAUCUAUGGUGUGUAAACUGCUUUUGUACAGGAAGAAACAUCCCGACGUGUCGGGACUUGACGGUACUGUAAGAAUAAGGAUCGGCUAACUCCGUGCCAGCAGCCGCGGUAAUACGGGGGAUCCAAGCGUUAUCCGGAAUCAUUGGGUUUAAAGGGUCCGUAGGCGGUUUGGUAAGUCAGUGGUGAAAGCCCGCAGCUCAACUGUGGAACGGCCAUUGAUACUGCCAGACUUGAAUUACAAGGAAGUAACUAGAAUAUGUAGUGUAGCGGUGAAAUGCUUAGAUAUUACAUGGAAUACCAAUUGCGAAGGCAGGUUACUACUUGUGGAUUGACGCUGAUGGACGAAAGCGUGGGGAGCGAACAGGAUUAGAUACCCUGGUAGUCCAA
Molecule: ribosomal RNA, 791 nt
Filed under: uncultured bacterium
Lineage: Bacteria
Description: bacterial SSU rRNA
Rfam family: Bacterial small subunit ribosomal RNA
Source: RNAcentral